GGCUCGGUAGCUUAGUUGGUAAAGCGCUCGUCUAGCAUACAAGAGUCCUGGGUUCAAAUCCCAGCCGAACAC
Aedes aegypti (yellow fever mosquito) is the source of this 72-nucleotide non-coding RNA. The record is from Rfam. Lineage: Eukaryota; Metazoa; Arthropoda; Insecta; Diptera; Culicidae.